GCAGCCCGGUUUUUGGCAUGAAAGUGCGGGUCAUGCAAGGACAUCCCAGAAUAGGAAAAACAGCCCGGGCAGAGCCUGCAGCAAAGCACUAAGAGUGGCAGGGAUCCAGCUGAAAUCACUACUAGUACACUGGCCACUGGAGAGUCAUUGAAUGCACACGUCUCAGGGAGGAAAUGAAUUCAUGACGAGUGAAAACAAGUCCAAAGCAUCUUCCGACGUCUCCACAGCAGAAGCAGAAAAUGUCAAGCUGCCAAAUACCACUGUCACAGAUGAAAAGGAGCUCAAAAAGACAAACAGGCAGUCUUAUAAACACUAACUGCUGGAGAAAAUCAUUUUUGACUGCUUUCAAGAGCCUGGCAGGAUAGGGUAAGAAACCCAGACUCAACUGAUCCUCCUGAAGUACUGUUGCUGCAUGGGCCUAUCAACCAAAGAAGGAGGGUGCCCACCCAAUGACCCCAGUGAAGUGUUUACACCUACCCUUACUCAAGCAAUGAUUGACGAUUACAAUAUGGGAUUGUAAAACCAAGACAUGAGCUCAACUGUAACACCAUCUGGCACGUGAGGACAAUACCGAUGUUGUCUGGUUUAUCACUUGCAUUUCUUUUUGAAAAUGUAUAUUCUGACUGGUCUCCUCAAUUGGUCCUUGGUUGAGGGUUAGGUGAGGGUUAUCCACUGCCUGCAGAAUGCACAUUCACCAAAUAAACAAAAUGAGAUGACAUAAACACAUUGAAUAUAUGUACGGGGAAUAUUAUACAGAAUAUCUGCACACAGUAAUUUCAUCAGUUGUAGUGAGAAAUUUGAAACUGCAAGAGACAAGUUCAAAGGUCAAGAUAAAGUCAGCAAAGACUGUCAGAUGACUGUCACAAGACACUGCUAGGAUGUUUCACUCAGUUUCUGCAAACUAUAGACAUUUGAAAAUCUGGAAACAGCAAA
Molecule: long non-coding RNA, 933 nt
Organism: Scomber scombrus (Atlantic mackerel)
Lineage: Eukaryota; Metazoa; Chordata; Actinopteri; Scombriformes; Scombridae
Exons: 3
Source: RefSeq, a predicted model, not a curated record